CCUACGGGUGGCAGCAGUGGGGAAUAUUGCACAAUGGGGGAAACCCUGAUGCAGCGACGCCGCGUGAGUGAAGAAGUAUUUCGGUAUGUACAGCUCUAUCAGCAGGGAAGAAAAUGACGGUACCUGAUUAAGAAGCCCCGGCUAACUACGUGCCAGCAGCCGCGGUAAUACGUAGGGGGCAAGCGUUAUCCGGAUUUACUGGGUGUAAAGGGAGCGUAGACGGCAGUGCAAGUCUGAAGUGAAAUCCCGCGGCUCAACCCCGGAACUGCUUUGGAAACUGUGGAGCUGGAGUGCAGGAGAGGUAAGCGGAAUGCCUAGUGUAGCGGUGAAAUGCGUAGAUAUUAGGAGGAACACCAGCGGCGAAGGCGGCUUACUGGACAGUAACUGACGUUGAGGCUCGAAAGCGUGGGGAGCAAACAGGAUUAGAUACCCGAGUAGUC
Molecule: ribosomal RNA, 440 nt
Filed under: uncultured bacterium
Lineage: Bacteria
Description: partial 16S ribosomal RNA
Rfam family: Bacterial small subunit ribosomal RNA
Source: RNAcentral